UGAGCAAUCUGCCCUUCUCAUCGGAAUAAGCGUUGGAAACGACGUCUAAUGCCGAAUACGACCUCCCUUCGCACGAUCGGAGGUGGAAAGCUCCGGCGGAGAAGGAUGAGCUCGCGGCCUAUCAGCUAGUUGGUGUGGGUAAUGGCCCACCAAGGCGACGACGGGUAGCCGGCCUGAGAGGGUGACCGGCCACACUGGGACUGAGACACGGCCCAGACUCCUACGGGAGGNAGCG
Molecule: ribosomal RNA, 235 nt
Filed under: uncultured bacterium
Lineage: Bacteria
Description: partial 16S ribosomal RNA
Rfam family: Bacterial small subunit ribosomal RNA
Source: RNAcentral